This is a long non-coding RNA of Ipomoea nil (Japanese morning glory), 750 nucleotides long. RefSeq lists it as uncharacterized. The record is from RefSeq and is a predicted model, not a curated record. The transcript has 4 exons. Lineage: Eukaryota; Viridiplantae; Streptophyta; Magnoliopsida; Solanales; Convolvulaceae.
GCAGUGGAUCUGGCGGCAGUGACCACUUCAAAUCGCAUCUCUCCCUUCUGAUCCAGCCUUCAAUCUCCAUUUACUGAAACGAAGACAACUAUUACGAUCUCGUUGGGUGAUUUUCUAUUACGAUCCUUUCCUCUACUCUACAUUGCAGUGAAUCAAUUUUAUUUCUCUGUUCUGGAUGUUUCGAAGUUACCAAGACUGGAUUUUUUGAGUUCUGUUUCCUAAACUGUGAGUGUGCGGCUGAUAGCAUUUUUGCGUUUUGAUUUGCAGUAAAACUCUAUUGAAGCCGACAAUACUUUGGAUAAAGCUAUUGAGAAACCGUAGAGAGAUUCAGCUGGAGCAGAUGCUCAAAGAAAUUGCCAAGCUUCUCGAAACUGGUCAGGAAGCCACUGCUCAGAUUCAGAGAGGAGAAAAUGAUGGCUGCCCAGGAGAUAAUUCAGCUAUUUUUUGAGCUCAUAAGUGUUCAUCUUCCAAUAAUUGAGGCACAAAGGGCUAGUUGUGGCAUUACUUGGAAAAGAAACUACUGCUGGUGAUUUUCUGGUUGAAGAUGUUCUAGAGGCUGGCCUAGCACAACAAAUAGAGCAACCACUUCAAUCAGGUAUAUCAUGACACAAAUGUGUAUUCUAAGGAUGGAAUAUAUGAGAUAAGGAGGGUAUGGAUAGACUAUUUUGUAAAUAAGUGCAUAUAAAUGUUUAUUAUGUGAUUUAGAUGGAAUUACAUUAUAUAUAUAAUGAUAGAUUAAUGUUAGGGUUA